RNAcentral lists this small RNA (461 nucleotides) under Rattus norvegicus (Norway rat). RNAcentral's name for it is "uncharacterized LOC103692776". Lineage: Eukaryota; Metazoa; Chordata; Mammalia; Rodentia; Muridae. The record is from RNAcentral.
CAGCUUUACCAAGAAAGAGGCAUUGAAGGCAGUAGAGAGUAGGAAAAGGAAGAAAGUCACCGUCACUCGGAUCUUUCCAGAUAAGGAAGAAGUAUCCAAACUCCGUGUCAAUCACACUUACCAUUUUACAUUUGGUUGCACAAUAAAUCAGGAAGACGAAAGAAUCCUUCACCAGAAGCUGAUCUGUCUAAAUGAAAGGCUAAGGCACUUAGCCGUCAGCUGGACUGGAGAAGAAAGGGACCACACCUAGAUGCGUUUCCUGGGCUUUCUAUGUAGAAAUAUUCAGCCAUACUCUCUUAGGGUCGUUUUAAAAUGCCCAACCGGUGGAUUUCUGAAAACUGUUAAACUAAUCAUGAAGAGCAGCAGGAUAAGCUUUAAUAUUCAUUUUGAAGUGGUGCAUUCAGUGGACCGGUAGAUAUUACUUUUCUUUCAUCUGUAAAUUUUAUUGAAAAUAAAUGUAA